RNAcentral lists this non-coding RNA (30 nucleotides) under Mus musculus (house mouse). Lineage: Eukaryota; Metazoa; Chordata; Mammalia; Rodentia; Muridae. The record is from RNAcentral.
UGCCAUGCCUACCUCCAGAUCCUAUUAGCC